UACAUGGGGUGCAAACGUUGCUCGGAAUUAUUGGGCGUAAAGCGCGCGUAGGCGGUUACUCAAGUCGGAUGUGAAAGCCCUCGGCUUAACUGAGGAAGUGCACCCGAAACUGAGUAGCUAGAGUACUAAAGAGGGUCGCGGAAUUCCCGGUGUAGAGGUGAAAUUCGUAGAUAUCGGGAGGAACACCGGUGGCGAAGGCGGCGACCUGGGUCGAGACUGACGCUGAGGCGCGAAAGCGUGGGGAGCAAACAGG
RNAcentral lists this ribosomal RNA (253 nucleotides) under uncultured bacterium. RNAcentral describes it as "partial 16S ribosomal RNA". It matches the Rfam family "Bacterial small subunit ribosomal RNA", at positions 524 to 776 of the family's 1533-position model. The record is from RNAcentral.